Molecule: RNA transcript, 2150 nt
Organism: Populus euphratica (Euphrates poplar)
Lineage: Eukaryota; Viridiplantae; Streptophyta; Magnoliopsida; Malpighiales; Salicaceae
Gene: GR
Gene name: glutathione reductase
Exons: 12
Source: RefSeq, a predicted model, not a curated record
UUCUGCUUCUCCACCUCAACACCACAUAACCCGGAAAAAAAAUAAAAUAAAAAAGCAGCAAGGAAAACGCUAACAUCCAAAUGGCAGCAGCGGCAGCCUCUUCUCUAACAACACCAAAACUCACCUCCCCAUCUCUCCAAUCCCUCUACAGAAAACUCCCCCUUUCCUUUCCUCUCUCCCCCUCCUCCUCCUUCCUCCCUCUCCCCAAAACCCUAACGACCACCACCACUUCCCUCUCCUCCCGCCGCCCUCUCUCUCACCACCACCGCCGCCAUCUCACUACUCGUGCGGAGGCCGAGAACGGCGCUGAACCUUCCCGCCACUAUGACUUCGACCUCUUCACUAUCGGUGCUGGCAGUGGAGGCGUCCGCGCUUCUCGCUUCGCAGCCAAUUUCGGCGCUUCUGUUGCCGUGUGUGAGCUUCCGUUCUCAACUAUCUCUUCGGAGACAACCGGAGGCGUAGGCGGCACGUGUGUGCUUCGUGGAUGUGUACCGAAGAAACUGCUUGUUUAUGCGUCGAAAUAUGCUCAUGAAUUUGAUGAGAGUCGGGGUUUUGGAUGGAAGUAUGACAACGAACCACUUCAUGAUUGGAAUACUUUGAUGGCUAACAAAAAUGCUGAGUUGCAGCGCCUGACCAGUAUUUAUAGAAACAUUCUCAAUAACGCUGGUGUCACUUUAAUUGAAGGCCGCGGGAAGAUUGUCGAUCCACACACAGUUGAUGUUGAUGGAAAGCUCUAUUCUGCACGGCACAUACUUAUUUCUGUUGGAGGACGCCCGUUCAUUCCUGACAUUCCUGGGAGUGAAUACGCGAUUGAUUCUGACGCUGCACUUGAUUUGCCAUCUAAGCCAGAGAAAAUCGCCAUAGUUGGUGGAGGGUAUAUUGCGUUAGAAUUUGCUGGAAUUUUCAAUGGCUUGAAGAGCGAUGUUCAUGUAUUUAUAAGACAGAAAAAAGUAUUAAGGGGAUUUGAUGAAGAGAUCAGAGAUUUUGUUGCAGAACAGAUGUCUCUAAGAGGAAUUGAGUUCCAUACAGAGGAGUCACCUCAGGCUAUUUUUAAGUCAGCUGAUGGUUCAUUGUCACUGAAGACCAACAAAGGAACAGUUGAAGGCUUCUCACAUGUCAUGUUUGCCACUGGACGUCGGCCUAAUACAAAGAACUUGGGACUGGAGAGUGUGGGGGUAAAAAUGACCAACAAUGGAGCAAUUGAGGUUGAUGAAUACUCGUGCACCUCAGUUCCUUCCAUUUGGGCAGUGGGAGAUGUUACAGAUAGGAUAAAUUUGACUCCUGUUGCUUUGAUGGAAGGUGGGGCAUUGGCAAAAACUCUCUUUCAGAAUGAGCCAACAAAACCUGAUUAUAGAGCUGUUCCAUCUGCUGUGUUUUCUCAGCCUCCAAUUGGACAAGUUGGUCUUACGGAAGAACAGGCUAAAAAAGAGUAUGGUGAUAUUGAUGUCUUCACAGCUAAUUUCAGGCCUUUGAAGGCUACUCUCUCAGGGCUUCCAGAUCGGGUCUUCAUGAAACUAAUAGUCUGUGCUAAGACAAACAAAGUUCUUGGGUUGAACAUGUGUGGAGAAGAUUCACCUGAAAUCGUGCAGGGAUUUGCAGUUGCAAUCAAAGCUGGCUUGACCAAGGCAGACUUUGAUUCCACAGUGGGUAUUCACCCAACAGCAGCUGAGGAAUUUGUUACAAUGAGGACUCCUAGUAGAAAGAUUCGAGAGCAUCCUGCAGCUGAGGGGAAGGCAGGUCAUGAUGUUAAAGCAGCAGCAGGGGUUUAGCGUGGGUUUACUUCGUCAUGAUAGCCCUUUCAAGGCAUUUUUUGGAGUCUAAUGUAGGGUUACUCGGUAGUUAGUAGAUGCAAGUGAAGACGAAACUGCAUUACUGAAUAUCUCAACCAACUGGGCAGGCAGUCACUCCGGAAAAUAGCUGGCAAAAUAUCUGCUUGUAGAGUAGCCAAGGAAUGUUCGGAUGUUGAUAUCGGAUUACAGGCAUCAUUUGAAGCGUAAAUGGUGGAAGUUCAUGUUGGGGUCAUUGGUGAACAUAAGCAAACCAUUAAAGAGCUUUCCAAAGGAAUAAUAAUAAUCAUAAGGCAUUGUAAUUUUUGCUCUUACAAAUGUGGAAAUGAGUGGGGAAUUGCAAUAAUAUGCAUGUUAGGAAUA